GGUUGUAGCUCAGCGGUAGAAUGCCUGCCUAGUGCAUAUGGGGCGCUGGGUUCAAUCCUCAGCACCA
RNAcentral lists this transfer RNA (67 nucleotides) under Marmota monax (woodchuck). Its description in RNAcentral is "tRNA.Thr". The record is from RNAcentral. Lineage: Eukaryota; Metazoa; Chordata; Mammalia; Rodentia; Sciuridae.